This is a long non-coding RNA of Morone saxatilis (striped sea-bass), 795 nucleotides long. RefSeq lists it as uncharacterized. Lineage: Eukaryota; Metazoa; Chordata; Actinopteri; Moronidae. The transcript has 2 exons. The record is from RefSeq and is a predicted model, not a curated record.
GCAUCUUGGCAAGAGCCCGUCUGGCCUUGAUGUCUUCCACCCUGCGGGAUGAUCUCUGGAGCAGAGCUGUGCGCUUCUGCUGGUUGACCUCCCGCGUGGCUCUGAUAGGACCCCACUGAAACUCCAGGAGCAUCACUGAAUGCACCUCAUACAGUCCUUUCACCUGAGCUUCCACUGUGCUGGCCAGCAGACUCAUCCAGCUCCCCAACCAGCGGUCUCAUCCGGCUCCCCUCUGGACCUUCCUCCAACCAUGUGGUCGACUGCUCCGACGCCAUCUGAGCCAUCAGCUGACCCGCAUAAAAGUCGCGUCCACCACUCAGCCAGUGUGAGCUGGACUGAUGGGAGAGUCGACCGAUCAUCCGACUCAGAGUGGAAUCCCAUCCAGCUUGAUCCAAACUCACUGAAACCGGCAGACCUGGUAACUGACCGAUCAGAGACGAGUGCGCUGAUGGUUGACCAACCAGCUGCUCCAUGGCCAAGUCCCUAUGGUCAGCAGCCAAACAGGAGGACUGGUCUGCCAGCUGGCCAAUCAGGGGUCUGAAAGAGUCCUCGGCCAGGGAUGGGUCCUCACCUGAGAGGUGCUCCAGGACUGGAUUGACUUUAUUGUCCCAUUCCUAUAGUAAAAACAAAACAUCCAUUGAAUGCUGGGUAUUUUAUAGCUGUAUCAAAUAUUUAUAAUGGACUUCUGUUUAUGAGUUUAACGUCAAUGGGAAAUACGACCAGAAAAGGAGAGAUAGAGCUAUGUUAAACUAUUUUCCCAAAUAACACAAAGGAUUGUGGGUCGUAAGUCACUGA